Molecule: ribosomal RNA, 377 nt
Filed under: uncultured bacterium
Lineage: Bacteria
Description: bacterial SSU rRNA
Rfam family: Bacterial small subunit ribosomal RNA
Source: RNAcentral
AACGAACGCUUGCGGCGCGCCUAAUACAUGCAAGUCGAACGAGGUAGCAAUACCAAGUGGCGCACGGGUGAGUAACACGUGGAUAAUGUGCCAUUCAGUGGGGAAUAACUGACCGAAAGGUUAGCUAAUACCGCAUGAGACCACAGUCCCUGAGGGGACCGAGGUUAAAGAUUUAUCGCUGAAUGAUCAGUCUGCGUAAGAUUAGCUAGUUGGUGAGGUAAGGCUCACCAAGGCAACGAUCUUUAAGUGGUCUGAGAGGAUGACCACUCACACUGGAACUGAGACACGGUCCAGACUCCUACGGGAGGCAGCAGUAGGGAAUAUUGCACAAGUGGGGGAAACCCUGAUGCAGCGACGCCGCGUGAGUGAUGAAGGCC